This 732-nucleotide ribosomal RNA is filed under the name uncultured Actinomycetes bacterium. Its description in RNAcentral is "bacterial SSU rRNA". It matches the Rfam family "Bacterial small subunit ribosomal RNA", at positions 28 to 776 of the family's 1533-position model. The record is from RNAcentral. Lineage: Bacteria; Bacillati; Actinomycetota; Actinomycetes.
GACGAACGCUGGCGGCGUGCUUAACACAUGCAAGUCGAGCGGAAAGGCCACUUCGGUGGUACUCGAGCGGCGAACGGGUGAGUAACACGUGAGUAAUCUGCCCCUGGCUUCGGGAUAGCCACCGGAAACGGUGAUUAAUACCGGAUAUGACAGACCCUCGCAUGGGGGUGUGUGGAAAGUUUUUCGGCCUGGGAUGUGCUCGCGGCCUAUCAGCUUGAUGGUGAGGUAAUGGCUCACCAUGGCUUCGACGGGUAGCCGGCCUGAGAGGGUGACCGGCCACACUGGGACUGAGACACGGCCCAGACUCCUACGGGAGGCAGCAGUGGGGAAUAUUGGACAAUGGGCGGAAGCCUGAUCCAGCAACGCCGCGUGAGGGAUGACGGCCUUCGGGUUGUAAACCUCUUUCAGUACCGACGAAGCGCAAGUGACGGUAGGUACAGAAGAAGCACCGGCCAACUACGUGCCAGCAGCCGCGGUAAUACGUAGGGUGCGAGCGUUGUCCGGAAUUAUUGGGCGUAAAGGGCUCGUAGGCGGUUUGUCGCGUCGGGAGUGAAAACGCCGUGCUUAACACGGCGCUUGCUUCCGAUACGGGCAGACUAGAGGUAUUCAGGGGAGAACGGAAUUCCUGGUGUAGCGGUGAAAUGCGCAGAUAUCAGGAGGAACACCGGUGGCGAAGGCGGUUCUCUGGGAAUGACCUGACGCUGAGGAGCGAAAGUGUGGGGAGCGAACAGG